UGAAAGACAACGAUGGGGAAAGUAAGCACGGCGUAUUUCCAAGCGACCCGGGGAAGGUGCGAGCCCGGGAAAGAAGCCCUGCCGAAAGCCACCCUGGAGUCGCCCUCUGAAGCUUGCAGCCGUAGGAGUUGGCCGGUGAUCCGCCGUUAUAGGACCGAGUGGACUUCGUAUGUAGUGGAGUCAACGAGGGUGGUACCGCGUGAGCAACAGCUCUCGUCCCUUUU
This 224-nucleotide non-coding RNA is filed under the name Paenibacillus sp. RNAcentral's name for it is "T-box sequence". It matches the Rfam family "T-box leader". Rfam says of the family: Uncharged tRNA acts as the effector for transcription antitermination of genes in the T-box leader family. T-boxes are found upstream of many aminoacyl-tRNA synthetase genes and some amino acid biosynthetic genes usually in Gram-positive bacteria. The anticodon of a specific tRNA base pairs to a specifier sequence within the T-box motif, and the NCCA acceptor tail of the tRNA base pairs to a conserved bulge in the T-box antiterminator hairpin. Lineage: Bacteria; Bacillati; Bacillota; Bacilli; Caryophanales; Paenibacillaceae. The record is from RNAcentral.